RNAcentral lists this non-coding RNA (1169 nucleotides) under Drosophila sechellia. RNAcentral's name for it is "Eukaryotic large subunit ribosomal RNA". It matches the Rfam family "Eukaryotic large subunit ribosomal RNA", at positions 2100 to 3308 of the family's 3401-position model. Lineage: Eukaryota; Metazoa; Arthropoda; Insecta; Diptera; Drosophilidae. The record is from Rfam by way of RNAcentral.
UCCUUCAGUGGGAACAGGCACGUAAACAAGUUGGAGAGGUCCGGAAAGUCCACUGUCCCUAUCUACUAUCUAGCGAAACCACAGCCAGGGAACGGGCUUGGAAUAAUAGCGGGGAAAGAAGACCCUUUUGAGCUUGACUCUAAUCUGGCAGUGUAAGGAGACAUAAGAGGUGUAGAAUAAGUGGGAGAUAUUAGACCUCGGUUUGGUAUCGUCAAUGAAAUACCACUACUCUUAUUGUUUCCUUACUUACUUGAUUAAAUGGAACGUGUAUCAUUUCCUAGCCAUUAUACGGAUAUAUUUAUUAUAUCUUAUGGUAUUGGGUUUUGAUGCAAGCUUCUUGAUCAAAGUAUCACGAGUUUGUUAUAUAAUCGCAAACAAAUUCUUUAAUAAAACGAUGCAUUUAUGUAUUUUUGAUUUGAAAAUUUGGUAUAACUCCAAUUACUCAGGUAUGAUCCAAUUCAAGGACAUUGCCAGGUAGGGAGUUUGACUGGGGCGGUACAUCUCUCAAAUAAUAACGGAGGUGUCCCAAGGCCAGCUCAGUGCGGACAGAAACCACACAUAGAGCAAAAGGGCAAAUGCUGACUUGAUCUCGGUGUUCAGUACACACAGGGACAGCAAAAGCUCGGCCUAUCGAUCCUUUUGGUUUAAAGAGUUUUUAACAAGAGGUGUCAGAAAAGUUACCAUAGGGAUAACUGGCUUGUGGCGGCCAAGCGUUCAUAGCGACGUCGCUUUUUGAUCCUUCGAUGUCGGCUCUUCCUAUCAUUGUGAAGCAAAAUUCACCAAGCGUUGGAUUGUUCACCCAUGCAAGGGAACGUGAGCUGGGUUUAGACCGUCGUGAGACAGGUUAGUUUUACCCUACUAAUGACAAAACGUUGUUGCGACAGCAUCCUGCGUAGUACGAGAGGAACCGCAGGUACGGACCAAUGGCACAAUACUUGUUCGAGCGAACAGUGGUAUGACGCUACGUCCGUUGGAUUAUGCCUGAACGCCUCUAAGGUUGUAUCCGUGCUGGACUGCAAUGAUAAAUAAGGGGCAAUUUGCAUUGUAUGGCUUUUAAACCAUUUAAAGUUUAUAAUUUAUUUUAUAAACGACAAUGGAUGGUUUUUUUUUUUUUUUUUUUUUUUUUUUUGGGUAUUAUAAAUUAAAAACGUCCUUCGGCGACCAUCCAU